RNAcentral lists this ribosomal RNA (301 nucleotides) under uncultured bacterium. Its description in RNAcentral is "partial 16S ribosomal RNA". It matches the Rfam family "Bacterial small subunit ribosomal RNA", at positions 509 to 807 of the family's 1533-position model. The record is from RNAcentral.
CAGUCGCCGCGGUAAUACGUAGGUGGCAAGCGUUGUCCGGAAUUAUUGGGCGUAAAGGGCUCGCAGGCGGUUUCUUAAGUCUGAUGUGAAAGCCCCCGGCUCAACCGGGGAGGGUCAUUGGAAACUGGGAAACUUGAGUGCAGAAGAGGAGAGUGGAAUUCCACGUGUAGCGGUGAAAUGCGUAGAGAUGUGGAGGAACACCAGUGGCGAAGGCGACUCUCUGGUCUAUAACUGACGCUGAGGAGCGAAAGCGUGGGGAGCGAACAGGAUUAGAUACCCCAGUAGUCCCUGUCUCUUAUAC